This 483-nucleotide long non-coding RNA is filed under the name Cercocebus atys (sooty mangabey). RNAcentral's name for it is "lncRNA (ENSCATG00000045480.1)". The record is from RNAcentral. Lineage: Eukaryota; Metazoa; Chordata; Mammalia; Primates; Cercopithecidae.
ACAACUGAUUUAGGAGGUAAUGCCAUGUUGAUCCCUUUCUUUUUCCACUGUUAGUUACUACAGAAGAAUUCUCUGGGACAACUGCUAUAUCUAGAACGUCCCACACUGGUAGGUUGAUAAGCAGGAAAUCUCCAUGUUUAACCAUAUAAUAUAGUUUUAGAGCUGCUUUGAUGAAAUACCAACCUCAUUCUUUUCCCAAUAUCCCAAAUUCUGAUCUCACCAUUCAUCACUUCCUCCCCCAGAGGCCACAACUUUAAUAGAAGGCCGCAGCAUUCCUCCAUCUGGAUCCAGCCCAGCCACCACUGGGGUAGCUCCUGGCACAACUGUUGCACCUGGCAGUUCCAACACAGAGGCCACAACUUCCACAAAAGGGACUGGUACUUCUGGAACUGGCUUCAAAACUGGUAAGAAUCAACAGUCCGUGAUUUAGGGUCAUCAAGAUUAGGAAUCAAGCUUCUCCUAAGAGUGUUUAUAUUUUAUUUA